Molecule: long non-coding RNA, 816 nt
Organism: Gorilla gorilla gorilla (western lowland gorilla)
Lineage: Eukaryota; Metazoa; Chordata; Mammalia; Primates; Hominidae
Exons: 2
Source: RefSeq, a predicted model, not a curated record
UCCCCCAUGCUGUUCUUGUGAUAGUGAGUUCUCAUGAGAUCUGAUGGUUUUAAAAGUGGCAGUUUUUUCCUGAACUCUCACUCUUCCCUCCUGCCGCCUUGUGAAGAACGUGCCUGUUUCCCCUUCACUUUCCGCCAUGAUUGUAGGUUUCCUGAGGCCUCCCCAGCCAUGUGGAACUUAUCAGGACUCCAAUUCUGCUCAGGAUGACAAUGGACUCAACAACAACAACAACAACAAAAUAGCUGUGUUGCCCAGCUUCCUUUCCAACUGGAGUCAGCUACAGGAUGAGAUUCGGGCCAAUGACAUUUAAGAAAAACUUCUUGUUGCACUUCCAAUAAUCCAUUUUAAAAGGGGACAGAUUCAUCAGCAUAUGCUUUCUGCCUCGAGUCCAGGGUUUCUCAACACUUUGGGCCAGAUAAUUCUUGCUCUGGGGUUUGUCCUGUAAAUUGUAGGAUGUUUAGCAGCAUCUUUGGCUUCUACAAAUUAGAUACCAGGAGCAACCCAUGUCCCCCCUCCGCAAGUUGUGACAACCAAAAAUAUCUCCAUAUAUUGCCAAAUGUCCCCCUGGUGGCAAAAUCACCUCCAGCUGAGAACUACUGCUUUAGCCUUUCCUCUUCUUCCUUUCUGGAAUGCCGAUGCAACGCCAGAAGCAGAGCAGCCAUCUAGUAAUCACAAGGCAACACAUAUGAGGAAAAAAUCUACAUGCUGAAGAUGGUGGGAUGAAAAGCUGAUGGCAUUUGAAGGCCAGCAUAUUAGAUCUGGACUGCCUCCCUCUUUUCCCUUCAUGACAUACAGAAAAUAAAGCCCUUAUUUGUU